Molecule: transfer RNA, 75 nt
Filed under: Clostridia bacterium
Lineage: Bacteria; Bacillati; Bacillota; Clostridia
Description: tRNA-Thr
Rfam family: tRNA
About the family: Transfer RNA (tRNA) molecules are approximately 80 nucleotides in length. Their secondary structure includes four short double-helical elements and three loops (D, anti-codon, and T loops). Further hydrogen bonds mediate the characteristic L-shaped molecular structure. tRNAs have two regions of fundamental functional importance: the anti-codon, which is responsible for specific mRNA codon recognition, and the 3' end, to which the tRNAs corresponding amino acid is attached (by aminoacyl-tRNA synthetases). tRNAs cope with the degeneracy of the genetic code in two manners: having more than one tRNA (with a specific anti-codon) for a particular amino acid; and 'wobble' base-pairing, i.e. permitting non-standard base-pairing at the 3rd anti-codon position.
Source: RNAcentral
GCUGAUGUGGCGCAGUGGUCGCGCAAUUGAUUCGUAAUCAAUAGGCCAUGGGUUCAAAUCCCAUCAUCAGCUCCA